Non-coding RNA from Physcomitrium patens, 197 nucleotides. NCBI's taxonomy places the organism in Eukaryota, Viridiplantae, Streptophyta, Bryopsida, Funariales, Funariaceae. The record is from RefSeq and is a predicted model, not a curated record.
GUUGAAGUUCGAGCAAGUUCGAGCAUCGGAGUGGGCUUGUCUCCUAAACCUCCAUGGUUGGCGCGGGUUCUUUCUCCAGCACUCUUGGUGGCAGCCAUGGUGUUGGUCGUGUAUAUUGCACAGGUCGACAAGGCGACUACUACGUCAUGGUCAUGGAUAUGCUCGGGCCAAGUCUCCGGGAUGUCUAGAACUCUUCG